Small nuclear RNA from Erinaceus europaeus (western European hedgehog), 193 nucleotides. RefSeq annotates it as U2 spliceosomal RNA. The record is from RefSeq and is a predicted model, not a curated record. Lineage: Eukaryota; Metazoa; Chordata; Mammalia; Eulipotyphla; Erinaceidae. The transcript has a single exon.
AUUGCUUCUCGACCUUCUCGCCAAAAUCAAGUGUAGUAUAUGUCCUUACCAGUUUACUAUCUAAAAUGUCCUGUAUCUGAGUGCAAUAUAUUACAUAGACUUUUGGAAAUAGGAGAUGAAAUAAAAAGAGCUUUUCUGGCCACUCCACACACUGACCUGGUAUUGUAAUACUUCGAGGAAUAGUAUACCCCCU